GGAGAGAUGGCAGAGUGGUCGAAUGCGACGGUCUUGAAAACCGUUGAGCCCGUAAGGGUUCCCUGGGUUCGAAUCCCAGUCUCUCCGCCA
This 90-nucleotide transfer RNA is filed under the name Candidatus Peregrinibacteria bacterium RIFOXYA12_FULL_33_12. RNAcentral's name for it is "tRNA-Ser". It matches the Rfam family "tRNA". From Rfam's summary of the family: Transfer RNA (tRNA) molecules are approximately 80 nucleotides in length. Their secondary structure includes four short double-helical elements and three loops (D, anti-codon, and T loops). Further hydrogen bonds mediate the characteristic L-shaped molecular structure. tRNAs have two regions of fundamental functional importance: the anti-codon, which is responsible for specific mRNA codon recognition, and the 3' end, to which the tRNAs corresponding amino acid is attached (by aminoacyl-tRNA synthetases). tRNAs cope with the degeneracy of the genetic code in two manners: having more than one tRNA (with a specific anti-codon) for a particular amino acid; and 'wobble' base-pairing, i.e. permitting non-standard base-pairing at the 3rd anti-codon position. The record is from RNAcentral. RNAcentral also lists the same sequence under 2 other names. Lineage: Bacteria; Candidatus Peregrinibacteriota.